GCUGGGAUAGUUCAGUUGGUAGAACAUGAGACUCUUAAUCUCAGGGUUGUGGGUUCAAGUCCCACAUUGGGCA
Non-coding RNA from Podarcis lilfordi (Lilford's wall lizard), 73 nucleotides. Lineage: Eukaryota; Metazoa; Chordata; Lepidosauria; Squamata; Lacertidae. The record is from the annotation of a GenBank genome assembly.